Molecule: ribosomal RNA, 458 nt
Filed under: uncultured bacterium
Lineage: Bacteria
Description: partial 16S ribosomal RNA
Rfam family: Bacterial small subunit ribosomal RNA
Source: RNAcentral
CCUACGGGAGGCUGCAGUGAGGAAUAUUGGUCAAUGGGCGAGAGCCUGAACCAGCCAAGUCGCGUGAGGGAGUACUGCCCUAUGGGUUGUAAACCUCUUUUGUCGGGGAGCAAAAGCCGGACGUGUCCGGCUGUGAGAGUACCCGAAGAAAAAGCAUCGGCUAACUCCGUGCCAGCAGCCGCGGUAAUACGGAGGAUGCGAGCGUUAUCCGGAUUUAUUGGGGUUAAAGGGUGCGCAGGCGGAUUUUUAAGUCAGCGGUCAAAUCGUGGGGCUCAACCCCAUCCAGCCGUUGAAACUGGGCAUCUAGAGUGUGCGAGAGGUAUGCGGAAUGCGUGGUGUAGCGGUGAAAUGCAUAGAUAUCACGCAGAACCCCGAUUGCGAAGGCAGCAUACCGGUGCACAACUGACGCUCAGGCACGAAAGCGUGGGUAUCGAACAGGAUUAGAUACCCGAGUAGUC